This 27-nucleotide non-coding RNA is filed under the name Trichoderma harzianum. The record is from RNAcentral. RNAcentral also lists the same sequence under 4 other names. Lineage: Eukaryota; Fungi; Ascomycota; Sordariomycetes; Hypocreales; Hypocreaceae.
UGACCUCGGAUCAGGUAGGAAUACCCG